CUGAGUUCGGGGGCAAUCCCAGUCCCGACCUCCAACCCCUUGUGAACAUAUCUUGUUGCUUCGGGGGCGACCCUGCCGUUCGCGGCAUUCCCCCCGGAGGUCUUCAAAACACUGCAUUAUUACGUCGGAGUAAAGAGUUAAUUUAAUA
Molecule: unclassified non-coding RNA, 148 nt
Filed under: uncultured Mycosphaerellaceae
Lineage: Eukaryota; Fungi; Ascomycota; Dothideomycetes; Mycosphaerellales; Mycosphaerellaceae
Source: RNAcentral